RNAcentral lists this non-coding RNA (28 nucleotides) under Mus musculus (house mouse). The record is from RNAcentral. Lineage: Eukaryota; Metazoa; Chordata; Mammalia; Rodentia; Muridae.
UGAACUUGAAGUGACCCCACCUCUCUGC